Non-coding RNA from Leptonychotes weddellii (Weddell seal), 1514 nucleotides. The record is from RefSeq and is a predicted model, not a curated record. Lineage: Eukaryota; Metazoa; Chordata; Mammalia; Carnivora; Phocidae.
AGGUGUUACACAAUGGCCUCAUUAUGGAGAUGAAGCAUCCAACCGUGGGGAAGAUAUCAGUGCCAGGCCCAGCUGUGAGAUACAGUAAGUUCAAGAUGUCAGAGGCCAGGCCACCCCCCCUGCUCGGGCAGCACACAAUGCACAUCCUGAGGGAGGUCCUCGGAUACAAUGACAAGGCCAUUGGGGAGCUGUUCAGCGCUGGAGUGGUGACCCAACACGAAGCCGAAUGAUCAAAAAUGCUCUUUCUCAACACCACAACCUGAAUGUACUUUGUUAGCAAAGGCAAUCUUCUUUCUGGACCCUUUUCCCCAGUUCUGGUGCCUGCCUCUGCAAAGAAAAGUUAGAGUAAUUCCAGAUUUCCUGCCUGGCGCCUCCAGAAUGGCUCUGGUAUCAAUGCAUCUAGUGCUUUCUAAAUGUGCCCCACCUUCUACUCCUUACCAUUCUCCCCCCACCCCAGAUAAUAGAUUAAUUGUGGAUUGGUGGGAUUUUUUUUUUUUGGUAAAGAUUUUUUUUUUCCUGGAAAAAUACAUUCCUCAUUCUAAUUACAUUAAUAGCCUAAACGUUUGCCCCUCCAGCCCACGCAGGUCUGAAAAAGAGCAGAUCUCUUGCCAUUCUCUACUGGCACAUAAAGUCUUCAUUUAAACCUUUGUUAGGAAGUCAAAGCAAUAAGCAGAAUGACAGUUUCAGUGAUUGAUUUUAAACAGAAUAACUUAAUUUUGAGCUCAUGAGUCCUUUGUUAAUCUGUAAUUUAAACCAUGGACUUUGCUGAUGUCCGUUAGGAAAACUGAGCUUCAUUCUCCCCAUGGGGGUAAAUAUUUGCUUUAUGUUGUAUUUCUCUGAUUAUUUCAUGAUAUGUGGCAGAAAAUCAAUUUUCAUUGCUGCAUUUUGGGGUGUAUGGAUCUAUCUGCAUUAGGGGGUGGAAAGUGGCUUUUUUAAUCAGCACCUUAUUUUGAGCCAAGUACAAAUGCAAUAGGUUUUUAAAUGAGUGUCAAAUGACCAUCUAGGUAUUGAAUAAUGUUUAUAUAAUAGGAGAAUGAAAGGAGAACAUUCUUUUGUAAUCUGAGCACUCACUGUAGAAGAAUAUAUAACGCCUUAAUAUUGAGUAUUGGCAUUUAAGUAUUAAAGUAUUUGUCAGAGAGCUUAAAGUAUAGAAAACAUUUUCUGUCCAGGAGAUGGCAACUGAUUUGACUCUAUGUUCCAGGAUAAACUGUCGCUCAGGCUACCAGUCCCCCAAGCCCAGGUAUAGACCUGUGCAUCACAUGACCUCAUGAUCAGUCUCCCGACAUGAUCUGAAGUCAUGACCUUAAGGCAAACAUUUUGCCAUCAUUUUAUGACAUACCACGUGGCAAUUGAAAGUUAAGUUAGAGGUGUUCAUCUUUCAAACUGUGAGUUAGAGCUGGUUUUACUUUCAUGCUCUUUUUGAUUGAGAUGAUUUGAGCUAUUUAUCCAUGCUGUAAACCCCAAUAUAUUUCUAGAAUCAAGGAUUGCAAAUAAAUAGGAAAUGUGUCUUCUCA